This 264-nucleotide ribosomal RNA is filed under the name uncultured archaeon. RNAcentral describes it as "partial 16S ribosomal RNA". It matches the Rfam family "Archaeal small subunit ribosomal RNA", at positions 717 to 982 of the family's 1478-position model. The record is from RNAcentral.
ACACGACUACAUUAGAUACCCGGUAGUCCUAGCCGUAAACGAUACUCGCUAGGUGUCGGCCACGGUGCGACCGUUGUCGGUGCCGUAGGGAAGCCGUGAAGCGAGCCACCUGGGAAGUACGGCCGCAAGGCUGAAACUUAAAGGAAUUGGCGGGGGAGCACCACAACGGGUGGAGCUUGCGGUUAAAUUGGAUUCAACGCCGGAAAUCUUACCGGGACCGACAGCAACAUGAAGGCCAAGCUGAAGACUUUGCCGGAUUAGCUG